RNAcentral lists this ribosomal RNA (219 nucleotides) under uncultured bacterium. RNAcentral's name for it is "partial 16S ribosomal RNA". It matches the Rfam family "Bacterial small subunit ribosomal RNA", at positions 1281 to 1500 of the family's 1533-position model. The record is from RNAcentral.
GUAAGUCCCAGUUCGGAUUGAAGGCUGAAAUUCGCCUUCAUGAAGCCGGAAUUGCUAGUAAUGGCAGGUCAGCAUACUGCCGUGAAUACGUUCCCGGGCCUUGUACACACCGCCCGUCACACCAUGAGAGUUGGGAAUACCCGAAGCCUGUGAGCUAACUUUAAGAGGCAGCAGUCGAAGGUAGAAUCAAUGAUUGGGGUGAAGUCGUAACAAGGUAAC